This 301-nucleotide ribosomal RNA is filed under the name uncultured bacterium. RNAcentral describes it as "partial 16S ribosomal RNA". It matches the Rfam family "Bacterial small subunit ribosomal RNA", at positions 509 to 807 of the family's 1533-position model. The record is from RNAcentral.
CAGUCGCCACGGUAAAACGGAGGGUGCGAGCGUUAAUCGGAAUUACUGGGCGUAAAGCGUGCGCAGGCGGUUCGUUAAGACAGAUGUGAAAUCCCCGGGCUUAACCUGGGAACUGCAUUUGUGACUGGCGAGCUAGAGUAUGGCAGAAGGGGGUAGAAUUCCACGUGUAGCAGUGAAAUGCGUAGAGAUGUGGAGGAAUACCGAUGGCGAAGGCAGCCCCCUGGGCCAAUACUGACGCUCAUGCACGAAAGCGUGGGGAGCAAACAGGAUUAGAUACCCCUGUAGUCCCUGUCUCUUAUAC